UACGAAGGGGGAUAGCGUUGUUCGGAAUUACUGGGCGUAAAGCGUGCGCAGGCGGCUUCUCAAGUCAGGGGUGAAAGCCCAGAGCUCAACUCUGGAAUUGCCUUUGAGACUGAGUGGCUUGAGUACGAGAGAGGUGAGUGGAAUUCCCAGUGUAGAGGUGAAAUUCGUAGAUAUUGGGAAGAACACCGGUGGCGAAGGCGGCUCACUGGCUCGUACCUGACGCUCAUGCACGACAGCGUGGGGAUCAAACAGG
Molecule: ribosomal RNA, 253 nt
Filed under: uncultured bacterium
Lineage: Bacteria
Description: partial 16S ribosomal RNA
Rfam family: Bacterial small subunit ribosomal RNA
Source: RNAcentral